Non-coding RNA from Pangasius djambal, 72 nucleotides. The record is from the annotation of a GenBank genome assembly. NCBI's taxonomy places the organism in Eukaryota, Metazoa, Chordata, Actinopteri, Siluriformes, Pangasiidae.
GGCAUGAUGGCCAAGUGGAAAUGUGUUGUUCUUUUAAACUGAAGAUUAUGGGUUCAAUCCCUGUUUGUGCCU